UACGUAGGGGGCUAGCGUUGUCCGGAAUCAUUGGGCGUAAAGCGCGCGUAGGCGGCCAGAUAGGUCCGGUGUGAAAGUCACAGGCUCAACCUGUGAAUGCCGCUGGAAACUGUCUGGCUAGAGUCCGGAAGGGGCGAGUGGAAUUCCUGGUGUAGCGGUGAAAUGCGCAGAUAUCAGGAGGAACACCAAUGGCGAAGGCAGGUCUCUGGGCUGACACUGACGCUCAUGCACGAAAGCGUGGGGAGCAAACAGG
RNAcentral lists this ribosomal RNA (253 nucleotides) under uncultured bacterium. RNAcentral's name for it is "partial 16S ribosomal RNA". It matches the Rfam family "Bacterial small subunit ribosomal RNA", at positions 524 to 776 of the family's 1533-position model. The record is from RNAcentral.